CCUGCUGCCGCCGAGCCUCGCUCCGCCCCGGAGGUGCUGAGAGCCGGCUGACCGCGCCCUGCUCCGCAGCCCUGCCUUCCCGCUCUGCUCGCUUCAGCCUCCGCCCCUUGGGCAGCGCGGUGCCUCAGCUGCGCCCGGAGCGGUGCUGCCGAUGCCGUGCCGCGCCUGAGGCGAGGGAAGGGCUUUGCUUGACCCGGGCGUGAGGCGCGUGCGGGGCUGAGGAGCCGCAGCCCAGCUGCUGCGCGCCCCUGCCCUGCGGGGAGUGGCUUUCAAGUUUCCUCACCGCUUUGCCGCACUUCCUCUUCCAGGCUCUCAUUUGAAAUAGUGUUUUGGUGGCUUAAGAGCCGUGGGUAUCGUUAGAGCGGCGGGGACGAAGCCGGGCGGGUUCCCCGCGGUAGCAGGUGAGGCGUGAAGGGUUGGGCUGCGCACAGGAAGAUGUGGAGCACAAGGAGGAGAGAGCACGGAAUGACAGCAUGCCCCGAGUUGGAAGGGAAUCGUGCGGAUCGUGGAUUCCAACUCCUGGCUCCGCACGAGACCCUCCAGAAACGAGGCCAUAUAUCUGAGUGUUGUAGAGAAUUAUUAACUCAGCUCAGUGCCACGAGCACAAGGGAGCCUGUUCCACACCCACCGCCCUCUGCUGCAGAGCCUUUUCCUGAUAGCCAGCCUGAACGUCUUCUGCCCAAAGCACACUUUUGUCAUUGUUUUCUAACUCAUCCUGGUGGAUGCCUGGGUGCUGCUGAGGGCCGUGACCGACCGUCACGAGGCUGCAGACAUCUCUGGAAAGCCGGGUCCCGCCUGCGUGGUGUCUAGCUUCUUCCCUGAAGGUUUCACUUCAUACUCACAAGUGCAAAAUAUGUGGUAACACUCCUGGUGUUGCUGCUACAGCGGGGUUCCUUCAGCAGAACAGAGUCCCAACGCAGCUGAGGAGGCUUUAUCACCGUAUUCUACAUUCAGUGGAAUUGAGAAGGCCGUGAAAACCAGUUACUGUUGGCCAGCAUUUUGCAGUGUUCUAUGUCAGCUUCUAGGUGAAUAUUAAGUUGAAUACACAGCACCAUACCUCCUGAGCCUGUAGUGGGGAACUACUUCAGCACAGAGCAACGUGUGGACAAGGUGUGCUACCAAACCAGAGCCUCCUGCUGCUGGCUUCUUUUGAAUUCUUCCAUUCAGGAAAUCUGCUCUGCCUGAAGCUGCUUCAUUUUUGGCAUGUGGCAUGAUGAAGUUGGGUUAAUUUUGAGAAUGAGCAAUUUCACGAGCAUAUAUUAAAAAGGAAAGUGAGAAAU
This is a non-coding RNA of Meleagris gallopavo (turkey), 1280 nucleotides long. NCBI's taxonomy places the organism in Eukaryota, Metazoa, Chordata, Aves, Galliformes, Phasianidae. The record is from RefSeq and is a predicted model, not a curated record.